GAAGUGCGAUAAGCAAUGCGAAUUGCAGAAUUCCGCGAAUCAUCAGAUCUUUGAACGCAAAUGGCGCCAGAGGGAUACCCUUUUGGCAUGUCUGUUUCAGUGUCUGAGAGGUUUCACACUCACCUUAAUGUGAUUGACGUCUCCCUUUUCUCGGAAAGGGAAAACAACGUCUCUCAUGAAAGAUGCGCGAGUGGAUCUUUCGGUCCAAUGAAGUGGUCAUUUUCCCAGAAAGUGAUUUCAUUGGAAGCACCGAAUUAUCCGCAUGCUCGCGGUUUCACGCUGUUGUUUUUAACGAAACAGCAGUCACCACUCUCCACACCCUGCAUCUGAAACAGGCAAGAUCACCCGCUGAACUUAA
RNAcentral lists this unclassified non-coding RNA (358 nucleotides) under uncultured fungus. Its description in RNAcentral is "sequence contains ITS1". The stretch from base 1 to 105 matches the Rfam family "5.8S ribosomal RNA", at positions 50 to 154 of the family's 154-position model. Lineage: Eukaryota; Fungi. The record is from RNAcentral.